GAUGAACGCUGGCGGCGUGCCUAACACAUGCAAGUCGAGCGAUUUACUUCGGUAAAGAGCGGCGGACGGGUGAGUAACGCGUGGGUAACCUGCCUCAUACACAUGGAUAACAUACCGAAAGGUAUGCUAAUACAGGAUAAUAUAAGAGAUUCACAUGGAUUUUUUAUCAAAGCUCCGGCGGUAUGAGAUGGACCCGCGUCUGAUUAGCUAGUUGGUAAGGUAAUGGCUUACCAAGGCGACGAUCAGUAGCCGACCUGAGAGGGUGAUCGGCCACAUUGGAACUGAGACACGGUCCAAACUCCUACGGGAGGCAGCAGUGGGGAAUAUUGCACAAUGGGCGAAAGCCUGACGCAGCAACGCCGCGUGAGUGAUGAAGGCCUUCGGGUCGUAAAACUCUGUCCUCAAGGAAGAUAAUGACGGUACUUGAGGAGGAAGCCCCGGCUAACUACGUGCCAGCAGCCGCGGUAAUACGUAGGGGGCUAGCGUUAUCCGGAUUUACUGGGCGUAAAGGGUGCGUAGGUGGUUUUUUAAGUCAGGAGUGAAAGGCUACGGCUCAACCGUAGUAAGCUCUUGAAACUGGAAAACUUGAGUGCAGGAGAGGAAAGUGGAAUUCCUAGUGUAGCGGUGAAAUGCGUAGAUAUUAGGAGGAACACCAGUAGCGAAGGCGGCUUUCUGGACUGUAACUGACACUGAGGCACGAAAGCGUGGGGAGCAAACA
This 718-nucleotide ribosomal RNA is filed under the name uncultured Clostridium sp. Its description in RNAcentral is "bacterial SSU rRNA". It matches the Rfam family "Bacterial small subunit ribosomal RNA", at positions 28 to 774 of the family's 1533-position model. Lineage: Bacteria; Bacillati; Bacillota; Clostridia; Eubacteriales; Clostridiaceae. The record is from RNAcentral.